Molecule: ribosomal RNA, 253 nt
Filed under: uncultured prokaryote
Description: partial 16S ribosomal RNA
Rfam family: Bacterial small subunit ribosomal RNA
Source: RNAcentral
ACGUAGGGUGCAAGCGUUAAUCGGAAUUACUGGGCGUAAAGCGUGCGUAGGUGGUUUGUUAAGUCUGAUGUGAAAGCCCUGGGCUCAACCUGGGAACGGCAUUGGAUACUGGCUUACUAGAGUGCGGUAGAGGGUAGUGGAAUUCCCGGUGUAGCAGUGAAAUGCGUAGAUAUGCGGAGGAACACCGAUGGCGAAGGCAAUCCCCUGGGCCUGCACUGACGCUCAUGCACGAAAGCGUGGGGAGCAAACAGGA